This is a long non-coding RNA of Daucus carota subsp. sativus, 817 nucleotides long. RefSeq lists it as uncharacterized. NCBI's taxonomy places the organism in Eukaryota, Viridiplantae, Streptophyta, Magnoliopsida, Apiales, Apiaceae. The transcript is spliced from 4 exons. The record is from RefSeq and is a predicted model, not a curated record.
GUACUGUUGAUGUGGUAAGCACACAACAUCGUUUCACUUUAAUGUUACAUUAAUUCACAUAAUAGAAUAAUCUAAAGGCAAAUAAAAAAUCACACUUGAGAUUCCGUGUUUUUUUUAUUUUGAGCGUUGAACACUUAAGUUGACCACCUGAGAAUAUAUAGCAUUACUCAACACCUGAAGUAGCUGAGUGAAGAUAGAAUGGAGUUUGUAAGGUUUUUAGUGCUGAUGAUCACAAGUCUUGUCCUGCUUUUGCACAACUCAUGUGCUCUUGUUGUUCAUCACCAAGGAAGGAAACUGAAGGGGAACUCUCCGAUGGCUAGCCAAGAAAAUUUAGCACCUGCUAAAAUGGGACUUAUUCAUCGUGAUUCUUAAUCUGAUGCUGUCGGGGGAAACCAGCAGCAAUGGAACUACUAGUUAGCUGACAGGGAGAGGAUAUAUGUGAAGCUGCUUUCGACAAUCUAAUUGAGGAUGCUUUGCUAAUUUCCACAUAUGCCCCAAAAGAUGGUGCUCUUGGAAUAAUCGACGACAAUGGGCCUGAUAUCAAAAGUCUUUUGUUAUGGAUUUUUUGUUGAUAAAAAAUUUGGUGUAAUAAUAUAUUGAUGUAUUUUAUUUAACAUUCAAGAUUUAGGAUUUUUUUUUACUAAUGUCAGUAACAAUGGUACGCUCUUGACGGUGGUGGUUUAGGUAUCGUUAGAUUUGUGGUGGGUAACAUUCUUAGUUGUUUUUUGGGAUUUUCUUGUAUUGAACCUUUAAUGGUGGAAUAAUAUAUUUAUGAAAUGGUCAUGUCCAUUUUUUUUAUUAAUACUGUUGCAAUAUG